This 434-nucleotide ribosomal RNA is filed under the name uncultured Lachnospiraceae bacterium. RNAcentral's name for it is "partial 16S ribosomal RNA". It matches the Rfam family "Bacterial small subunit ribosomal RNA", at positions 341 to 792 of the family's 1533-position model. The record is from RNAcentral. Lineage: Bacteria; Bacillati; Bacillota; Clostridia; Lachnospirales; Lachnospiraceae.
ACGGAAGGCAGCAGUGGGGAAUAUUGCACAAUGGGCGAAAGCCUGAUGCAGCGACGCCGCGUGAGUGAAGAAGUAUCUCGGUAUGUAAAGCUCUAUCAGCAGGGAAGAAAAUGACGGUACCUGACUAAGAAGCCCCGGCUAACUACGUGCCAGCAGCCGCGGUAAUACGUAGGGGGCAAGCGUUAUCCGGAUUUACUGGGUGUAAAGGGAGCGUAGACGGUUUGGCAAGUCUGAAGUGAAAUGCGGGGGCUCAACUCCUGAACUGCUUUGGAGACUGUCGAACUAGAGUGCAGGAGAGGUAAGUGGAAUUCCUAGUGUAGCGGUGAAAUGCGUAGAUAUUAGGAGGAACACCAGUGGCGAAGGCGGCUUACUGGACUGUAACUGACGUUGAGGCUCGAAAGCGUGGGGAGCAAACAGGAUUAGAUACCCUGGUA